UGGGGAAUAUUGCACAAUGGGCGCAAGACUGAUGCAGCAACGCCGCGUGAACGUUGAAUGUCUUCGGAUCGUAAAGUUCUGUUGCAGGGGAAGAUAAUGACGGUACCCUGUGAGGAAGCCCCGGCUAACUACGUGCCAGCAGCCGCGGUAAUACGUAGGGGGCUAGCGUUAUCCGGAUUUACUGGGCGUAAAGGGUGCGUAGGUGGUCUUUCAAGUCGGUGGUUAAAGGCUACGGCUCAACCGUAGUUAGCCUCCGAAACUGGAAGACUUGAGUGCAGGAGAGGAAAGUGGAAUUCCCAGGGUAGCGGUGAAAUGCGUAGAUAUUGGGAGGAACACCAGUAGCGAAGGCGGCUUUCUGGACUGCAACUGACACUGAGGCACGAAAGCGUGGGUAGCAAACAGG
RNAcentral lists this ribosomal RNA (403 nucleotides) under Verrucomicrobiota bacterium. RNAcentral's name for it is "Verrucomicrobia bacterium partial 16S ribosomal RNA". It matches the Rfam family "Bacterial small subunit ribosomal RNA", at positions 355 to 776 of the family's 1533-position model. Lineage: Bacteria; Pseudomonadati; Verrucomicrobiota. The record is from RNAcentral.